Molecule: ribosomal RNA, 513 nt
Filed under: uncultured bacterium
Lineage: Bacteria
Description: bacterial SSU rRNA
Rfam family: Bacterial small subunit ribosomal RNA
Source: RNAcentral
GAGUUUGAUCAUGGCUCAGAUUGAACGCUGGCGGCAGGCCUAACACAUGCAAGUCGGGCGGUAGAGAGAAGCUUGCUUCUCUUGAGAGCGGCGGACGGGUGAGUAAUGCCUAGGAAUCUGCCUGGUAGUGGGGGAUAACGCUCGGAAACGGACGCUAAUACCGCAUACGUCCUACGGGAGAAAGCAGGGGACCUUCGGGCCUUGCGCUAUCAGAUGAGCCUAGGUCGGAUUAGCUAGUUGGUGAGGUAAUGGCUCACCAAGGCGACGAUCCGUAACUGGUCUGAGAGGAUGAUCAGUCACACUGGAACUGAGACACGGUCCAGACUCCUACGGGAGGCAGCAGUGGGGAAUAUUGGACAAUGGGCGAAAGCCUGAUCCAGCCAUGCCGCGUGUGUGAAGAAGGUCUUCGGAUUGUAAAGCACUUUAAGUUGGAGGAAGGGCAGUAAAUUAAUAACUUUGCUGUUUUGACGUUACCGACAGAAUAAGCACCGGCUAACUCUGUGCCAGCCGCCG